AUAAUGCAGUCGACGCACUUUCGUUAUUGAUUUUGAGAUGCUUGCAUCGAAGAUGAUUUUAACUAUAAAGUGAGUGGCGAACGGGUGAGUAACACGUGGGUAACCUGCCCAGAAGUGGGGGAUAACACCUGGAAACAGAUGCUAAUACCGCAUAACAAAAUUAACCGCAUGGUUGAUUUUUAAAAGAUGGCUUCGGCUAUCACUUCUGGAUGGACCCGCGGCGUAUUAGCUAGUUGGUGAGAUAAAGGCUCACCAAGGCAGUGAUACGUAGCCGACCUGAGAGGGUAAUCGGCCACAUUGGGACUGAGACACGGCCCAGACUCCUACGGGAGGCAGCAGUAGGGAAUCUUCCACAAUGGACGCAAGUCUGAUGGAGCAACGCCGCGUGAGUGAUGAAGGCUUUCGGGUCGUAAAACUCUGUUGUUGGAGAAGAACGUGUGUGAGAGUAACUGCUCAUGCAGUGACGGUAUCCAACCAGAAAGCCACGGCUAACUACGUGCCAGCAGCCGCGGUAAUACGUAGGUGGCAAGCGUUAUCCGGAUUUAUUGGGCGUAAAGCGAGCGCAGGCGGUCUUUUAAGUCUAAUGUGAAAGCCUUCGGCUUAACCGAAGAAGUGCAUUGGAAACUGGGAGACUUGAGUGCAGAAGAGGAGAGUGGAACUCCAUGUGUAGCGGUGAAAUGCGUAGAUAUAUGGAAGAACACCAGUGGCGAACGCGGCUCUCUGGUCUGCAACUGACGCUGAGCUCGAAAGCAUGGGUAGCGAACAGGAUUAGAUACCCUGGUAGUCAUGCGUAACGAUGAUGCUAGUGUGGAGGGUUCCGCCCUCAGUGCUGCAGCUACGCAUAGCAUCCGCC
This 853-nucleotide ribosomal RNA is filed under the name Pediococcus ethanolidurans. Its description in RNAcentral is "bacterial SSU rRNA". It matches the Rfam family "Bacterial small subunit ribosomal RNA", at positions 48 to 873 of the family's 1533-position model. Lineage: Bacteria; Bacillati; Bacillota; Bacilli; Lactobacillales; Lactobacillaceae. The record is from RNAcentral.